UGUCCUCUCUCCUCCACUCCCUUCUUCCUCUCUCUGCAUCUUCUUCUUGUUUGUGCUUUUUCUUCUUUUCCUUGGCAUCCAUCCGUGAUUCGGCAGGUCUCACAGUCAGAGACAAAGCACAAUAUCUUGAGUUGAGCACAAAGAAACUACCUUUUAAAAACAUCAACUUGGAAGAAACCUGCAUCAUUAGCUACCUCCCUCCCUUCCUCGGUCUUUACAGAGCUCGGCAUUAUAUUCAACACAGCACUGCCUGUUGUCUGCAUGAUUCUAGCCACAAAAAUUGGGUGAAGGUGGCAACAUAUCCACUGUGUGUUCAGAUAGGUAGAGACCCCAAUUUUCAAGGGACACCGGCUUUACAGGAUCCUCUAGUAGCUGAGCUUUUAAGAUGUGUGCCCGCAAAAAUGAUAGGAUUUUCGUCAAUUCAGGAUGUCUUUCAUUUUCUUCUUGUGCCACUUUUUUCUGUCAUCUGAAUGAUUACUUCUCACGAUCAAGGGACUGUCAGCUGAUCAAUGAAGUGUGUAUGGAUCUGAUGGACAUAUGAGGAGAAAUGCUUCAGGAGUAAGAAAAGAUGUCUGCAGUGGAAGCGGAGGGUCAGGAUGAGCUACAGUCACUGAUACGUUCCCUUGGAUUUGGAAAUGAACUUAAGUGGUAAAUUAGUACACAUGACUAACAGAGUCAAUGUGAAAAGCACAGCCAUUGAAAAGAAAGAGAUUUUUAGCAUUGUAGUCAUCACAUGCCUUAAUGGAGUGUAUACUUUAAAUACAGAUUUGAAUCACUGCUCUUUUAUCCCUCUAAAUGUCAGUUUCAAAGAAGUCCCUGGGCAUUGUUGACUUCUUGUCCGUAAAGAAAACCCACCAAGAUUCACCAAGUACCUCACCUGCAGCCACAAGCAUACGUGUUUUAAAUGCCCAUGGGAUGUUGAACAAUUAGGCAGAGAACUGCACUGUGGUCUCUUCUCUUCGCUGCUCCCCUCCACCCCCCAUUUUUUUUUUUUUUUCUUUUAGAAAAUGUGAUACCUGAUCUCUGGAUCUAGCAGGGAUGAGGGUUUUUUUCUUUUUUGGUUUUGUUUUUUUUGUAUCUGUAUAAUACAAUGUCUGGCCUUCCCCCUGACCUGCUAGUGUAUUUUCGGUCUCAUCAGUAGUCAAGGAGAAGCCCUAGCGCAUCCGGUGCUGGGAGUCAGGUCUGAGACACAGGACAACAGAGAGAAGGGGCGGGUGAGAGGAUACUGGAAGAGAGGCUUGUCCCCAAGAUAUGGAAGGAAGUGAGAAAUGACAGGACUGCAAGCUUUGUAUGGAGGAGCCUGGCAGGGCGGGGGGGAGCGGCGAGGAGCGCAAAGUGGGUUCUCAGAAGCCCUAGAAGAGCUAAAGGUGAUUAGAGGGGGAUAUUGAUUCCUUAUUCUGCCAGCGAUUUAAGCAGGCAUGCAAGGAAUCCGCACCACGGUUGCAAAAGGAGACCCAUUGCCUCCUGUAACCAGACACUCGGGCUUUCCAGGAGCCCAGCGAGAGCUGGGAAGAAAGGGGGCAGUGUGGUCUAGGAAAAUUCAACUUGUCGCUGAUUUGUGCCUGAUGCUCGCUGUCCGUCAGCAGCCUCCCUUACAAUCUUUUUUUCCUCUCUCUCCCUUUUUUUUUUUUCUUGCCUUCUCCUUCUUCACUGAAGCCUAGGGGAGCCAGUAAAGAUUAAAUGUGCUUUCUCAAAGGCAGCCACUUCAUGCUGCUAUGUCGAAAGGGCCAUUAUUAUUAUUAUUAUUUUAAUAGUAAAAGAAGAAGGGAGAGAGGUUGAGAGAGAGAGAGAAGCUAGGUAGGAUGAUGACGGACUAGCUUUUCCGAGAGGAAAAGGGAAGGGAGAGAAAAAGCAGAGACCCUGAACGGAGGAUUGUGCCUGAGAAGAACCUACAGAGGCGGCACUGGGAGCCGAAAGCCCAGUUUCCAGGCAGAUGGGGGAAGCGCCGAUCUAGCAGUUCUCGGUCCUCUAUUGAAACACCUCGCCCAGGCGAGCGCCCUGCAGCUCACAUUUCCCCCCCGGCUCGGAUGGUGCUACGGGAGCUGCAGCCUGACUCCACUUCCAAUGGUCGUCUCCAUGUUCCUUUCAGCUGGUCCUAUAGUUCCCCUUCCUCAGGAAUGUCUUCCCAGUGAAAGAACACAGGCUGCAGAAACCCUGUCCCGAUGGAUGCUAAAGCCAACUGCAAAGUGGAAACAAAGAGCAACGCCAUCACCUGAAGACUUCUCUCCUGCCAAGCGACACACCCACACGCUGCAGUUUCAGCCAGUAGCGUCUCAGAACAAGAGGCAAGCUUUUCAAGAGACAGAAACCCUUAAGAAAGCUAUCUAGAUUUCGAAUGAGCGAGGACUUUCCCUUCCUCACGUGUACUCCUCUGUUUGUAUUUAAAUUCUGUGUGACGUUCAUUUUUUAAAAACUUUUCUUUUCCUAGCAUGACUAUGCUUAUUAAUACUCUAAUUUUUAAAAUAGAAAAUUGUUCAUGCCAGAGGUCGAUUGCAUGUUAGCCACACACAGAGUUUGGCCUUAAAAGACUGACUUAAAGAAUAUUGAGUUCUUUUGCAAUCACAGAGUUGUAGGAGGCAAUACAAAGGAUAAAAUGAUGGUGGGAACUCAGAAUGUGUCAUCGAAAUACAGUAUCAGGCAAACUUGGUUCUGUGAGACAUAGUCUCUGCCUCUAAGGAGUUUAAACCUAGUUAAACAGAGGCACAUAAACUUUUGAAAAGAGAAGUAACAGAUCAAGUCAAUUUAUAAGAGCAAAUGAAAGAUAUAAACAAGGAGCUCGGAGGAAGUCCCCUUAGGCGGGGCAAACUCGUCUGUCUAGGGAAGAAAGUUCCCAAAGGAAGAAAAUACAAAGUGAAUUUUAAAGAAUGUUAAAGAUUUAGAUAAAUGGGAAGGAAAAAGAAAAUAGAAUCCUUUCUUUGGAUGCAAUAUUGUAAGCAAAGUCAGAGAGGAAGGCAUCUACCUGGUGAUUUCAGGAAAUUAUGAAUACACAGAUCCAGUUGAUUAAAUUCCAGACUUCCAUUGCCAAUCUAUAUGUACAUAUAUGGUGAAGACUUUGCACACAUACUUCCCCUUGCCCACCUCAGGUGUAGACCAGAAUUAUAAUCAUAUUUCUUCCAUUAAAAUAAGUGAAUGUGAUUGACGAUAGUAUGAUGAUUUGUGAUUUUUCUGUUAGCCUAAUAACAGUGUAUAUUUAUUGAGUUCUCCCUACAUGUUAAGCAUUUUAUAUGGUAACUCUUUUAAGGAUUACAACAACCCUGCAAAAUAGGUAUUAUUUUGUAUUUCCAUUUUACAUAAAGAAAGCUGAGGCUUAAGUAACUUGGCAAACGGCCACAUACAAGGUUCACAAUCAGGACUGUGAUUUCAUAGCUCACGAUCUAAGGCACUAAGUCACAGUAUUGCAACCAAGUUUGUAAUUUUGCCACUUCUAUAUUCCUUGAUAUUUUUCUAUGGUAGACACAUAGCUAUUUUCUUUAAUCAUCUUCUCAAAAUUUUCAGUUUUCUGGUUGAACUAGCAUGGUGGAAUGUAUUUUCAUGACAGAAAUGGAAGAUACUGGGAAACAGAGUUUAUCAGCAUUUUAAGCUUUUUUUGGACCAGACUCUGAGGAGACUGUUAGCUUUGGUCAGCAUGAAAUCUCAACUUCUUGAGAACAAAAUAGGGGGUGGAGAGAGCUUAAAGGUCAUCUAUUGCAAUGUUCUUUCCUACAGAUGUGAUAAACCUGUAAAGAUAGAGCUACUUACAGAAGAUCGCACAUUUGAAUAUAACAGAACUGGAUCCAGAAAUCAUGCCCUCAGAGGCUUUUGAACUAUACCACCCUGCCUAAAUGAGGCAUGAGCUUGAAUUUCACCAAUGGAAACAUUCUGUCUGGGUGAUCAAGGAGCACCAUACCAAGUAGAUUGCUUCACUUUUGGCUACGUCUUUGGCUUUUGACUUCAAUGUGAAAGAUAGUUAUGGACUGACAUCUUUAGUUUCAAAAGCUGUCAAUGGUCCAGCCGCAAAGAACACACAGUAGCCCAAGUUAUGCAUGCAGUGUCUUCAAUGAUAUUCUUAAGUUACUUGGCGUUCUUCCUUCACCUAAACCAGUCAGAUCUUCUAGUGAGCAUUUUCUUAACCAAGUUUAUGCACAGUAUAUAUUCAUAAGAGUUUCUGCAGAAUGUUUAAAUGUGUCUGUUUUGAUAGUCUUUAUGGUUUUUUUAAAAUAUCAGUGGUUAUUUGCUAUUUUAAUUGUCAGUUAUCCAUAUAACUAACCCAAGAAUACUUCAGCCGUAAAAAACUAGAAUUAAGGAAAUCUUAGUCUUCUAUACUAGCCCCUUUGCCUUUAGUUGGCACUUAGUAAUAAUUAAUAAAGUGGUCUACUGGAGAAUACAGAGGUUCAAAACACAAUUUUGUCUUGAAGGAGUCAGUUGAACUGUGUCUACUUGAGAGCAAGCAUCUAGACAUUUGGAAGGACCUGAAUGUUUGACUGUUGUAAAUUUCCAUUUAGCUAUCCGGCUUUGUCACACUUAGACCUCCUGGUGGCUCAGGUCGACCUAUUUUCAAAAUGAUGAUCAUUGGCCAUAUCUCACACAGUGAUCAUUAAGUGAGUUCAUAAAUAAACAGGUUGUUUUCUUUUUUAAGCAUAGCCAAGCACAAAAUGUGACUCUGUUGACAUUUUAUGAGACUUUGUUAUAUGUCCCCUGAACCCCCAAUAAAACCAAUGUUGCAUCAACUGUGAA
Odocoileus virginianus texanus is the source of this 4713-nucleotide non-coding RNA. NCBI's taxonomy places the organism in Eukaryota, Metazoa, Chordata, Mammalia, Artiodactyla, Cervidae. The record is from RefSeq and is a predicted model, not a curated record.